Molecule: long non-coding RNA, 1700 nt
Filed under: Macaca fascicularis (crab-eating macaque)
Lineage: Eukaryota; Metazoa; Chordata; Mammalia; Primates; Cercopithecidae
Description: lncRNA (ENSMFAG00000047766.1)
Source: RNAcentral
UCACUAGACCUGAUUUUUUUUUAGCAGCAGCUCUUGAAUAAACAGCAAACCUUACUGACUGAAAAACUCAAACUCCAACUGCUCGCAGGCACAGUAGAGAGAAUGAGAAGUGUCUGACAUGUGAAGUAAAACGAGCAUGGCCCCAUCGAAUGGUGGAAAAGAAGCAGGCUCUACAGGGUGUGUGGUUGGGUUUCAUGUGAACCCUUACCUGUUUUUCUUUAAUUUACACAUUCCAAUUCCCACUCUUUGUGACUUCUAGAAACAGAAUGUUAUCUGAGCCAAUUAUCUAUGUGCAUUUUCUCUUCAUCUCUCUCCUGAGCCAAAUUCUGAUUUAAUUUCCUCCCAUGGUGAUAUGCAGCCAUGACCGUAGGCCAGUUGGGCCCAUCACAUUUGAAUGAAUGUGAUUAGACAGAUGUGAGAUGGCUCAAUCCCAGAUGCUUCCUCUAAGCGCUAUUGUGGAUGUGGAGAGAAACAUUAUCGGUUGUACUUUUAAUAUUCAGCAAAUUGUCUCAAAAUGGCCCCUAGGCACACAUAUGGUUCAGCAGCUCGCUGGCAUUCCAAUCUCGCAAUAAGUGAAAUUCUAACUUCAGUAAUACAUUAACUUGGGAACUUUGGACAUAUCUCACAAAAUCUGUGAGAUAUCUAACCAUGUCAUUUUACCAAUAUCCACACACAAGUCUAGAACGAUUACAAUGUAUAAACCUAGAAAUUUGGGACAUCUGGUUUACCAGUUGCUCUGCCUCUAGCUCAGCUUUCGAAGAUGCUCCUGUUUACAAUGAACAGACAAGAUUAUUUCACGCAGAUGGAAGGUCUUGCUGUUGGAGUUAAACACAUUUGACUCAAUCAAUAGAGUUAUUGUUCUGGGACCAAAAUGUCUCUGACUCAUAACCUUGCUUUUGCUCUUCAUAUCAAAUGAGUGUGAUAUUAAUUUCCAGCCCUGCAGUGGUAGAAUCCUCCCAGCAAUAUAAGAAGAUGGAAGAAAUAAGAACGUCGGUCAAGCACUCCCCUGAUAUACCUUUUCAUUUUACCAGUCACACCACAGUAGGAGAACAAAUAUUACAGGCUCAUGUACAGUGCUAUAACUAGUCCACUAAAUGACAAGAGCCUGCCGUCCUCAGUAAUUCUCAUUUAGGAUGUGUUUCUUCUCUAAUAGGUUUCCCUCCAAAUGCUUUGUGUCAUGAAUUCACUACAGCAAAAAACUUUAAGAAUCUGAAAUUCAUUGCAGCUAUCCUGCAUUUGCAGCCCAGAAAUUACAGGAUCUAGCAGUCUUUGCUCUCUCAGUUUAAUCUGAACAUAAAUACAGGUAUUUGCUUCAACAGUCGCUAAAGGAAAACUAUAACACUGUCAAAACAAACUUGGAGAAGCUGCCUGAAAAUGGUGUUCAUUUCCCUUUUCUUUCAGCAUUCUUCUUGGUUAGCACAACUCAGAGGAGUGCACCAGUAGAGUUACUACCUUUUUUCUUUCAGUGAGGGGGAAAGCCACCACCGUAUGCCACAUUUUUUUUCUAAAAGCAAAACCCAAACAGAAAAGGUAUUUGCUCUUAGCAAAUAAUCAAAAUGCAGCAAAUGAACUGUCUCAACAUGGUUGCUUUGUGGGGGUCACCUUGUUGGUUGGCAGUGAAAAUCGACUCCUGAAAUAAAAAGAAAAAUUCAAAUGUGAUAACCGGUCUUCAGAUUUUAUCACCUUUAACUCAUAAGCAC